RNAcentral lists this ribosomal RNA (497 nucleotides) under uncultured bacterium. RNAcentral describes it as "partial 16S ribosomal RNA". It matches the Rfam family "Bacterial small subunit ribosomal RNA", at positions 28 to 507 of the family's 1533-position model. The record is from RNAcentral.
GAUGAACGCUGGCGGCGUGCCUAAUACAUGCAAGUCGAGCGAACAGACGAGGAGCCUGCUCCUCUGACGUUAGCGGCGGACGGGUGAGUAACACGUGGAUAACCUACCUAUAAGACUGGGAUAACUUCGGGAAACCGGAGCUAAUACCGGAUAAUAUAUUGAACCGCAUGGUUCAAUAGUGAAAGACGGUUUUGCUGUCACUUAUAGAUGGAUCCGCGCCGCAUUAGCUAGUUGGUAAGGUAACGGCUUACCAAGGCAACGAUGCGUAGCCGACCUGAGAGGGUGAUCGGCCACACUGGAACUGAGACACGGUCCAGACUCCUACGGGAGGCAGCAGUAGGGAAUCUUCCGCAAUGGGCGAAAGCCUGACGGAGCAACGCCGCGUGAAUGAUGAAGGUCUUCGGAUCGUAAAACUCUGUUAUUAGGGAAGAACAAAUGUGUAAGUAACUAUGCACGUCUUGACGGUACCUAAUCAGAAAGCCACGGCUAACUACGUG